AUGGAAGGGGCGGCAGCCGGACAGCUGCGAGGUGCUCGGAGCGGGAUCCCGCGCCUGGAGAUGCUGACUCCGGCUUCGCGGGAAAGAGUCUAUAAAGAAAUAUGCACAAGCAGCAUCAUUCAGCAGGAUUUCAGACCAGAAAGAACCCUCCCGUCAGAGACUGGUGGCCAUACAAGGGUGCGCUGUGAAGCUUUCGAGACAGCAGACAGCCGGAGUCGUGAUCAGGGUGGCCAGGAAGGGAAACAACACGGUAGCAACCAGAGUGCCCUCCCAUGUGGAUUCCUUUGGUGACGAAUAAGCCAGUUGGUGUGCAGGGUGUUCACUGCAAGGCCCAGACAGGACUACAAGAGACCAGGACUGUCCUCAGUAUGUGAUCUCUCUCUCCUCUGGCGUCAGCUCUACCCAGGAACGGAUGUGAAGGCUGAAGCCCAGGCAAGGGCUCAUAGUGUGGGGACCGUGCAGCUGGAUUCAUGUCCAGUGGAAUUUGACACCAUGGCCGUCAUCAUCAUGUUUUGCCGUCAUCAGCACAGACCUCUGAGCAGAAAUGCCAGAACAAUG
This 558-nucleotide long non-coding RNA is filed under the name Homo sapiens (human). RNAcentral's name for it is "HSALNT0363597". Lineage: Eukaryota; Metazoa; Chordata; Mammalia; Primates; Hominidae. The record is from RNAcentral.